This 1618-nucleotide unclassified non-coding RNA is filed under the name Dermacentor andersoni. RNAcentral describes it as "protein couch potato-like". Lineage: Eukaryota; Metazoa; Arthropoda; Arachnida; Ixodida; Ixodidae. The record is from RNAcentral.
GCACAAAAAAAUACGAAAGGCGCAAGCCACGGCCCAGCGAGCAGCGGCGCUGGGCACAUGGGCGGCGAGCGAGGCGCAACGCCGGCGGACAGCAGUUGUUGCGAGGAGAGCAUCUGAAGCGAGCUGCCGUCGGCGCGGGCGGACUCGUGAAAGCGCAAGGCGCGUCAGCCGCAGGUGUGCGCGCCUCCACCGGCAAGCAGAGCCCCGGCCCUUGAGCCGCCGCGCGCGCGCGCUCGCGCCCACGACGCUGUUCUGCCGUCACUGCUGCCCACCGAGGCGCGUCCCCCCAUGCGCGCACUUAGGCCUAGCUAGAAGAACGCCGCCGCACGAGACGAUCACCACGACGACACACGCACGGGGCCGGAUUACGAGAGGCGAGCAAAGCGGCGCAGCGCGACCACGUCCCUCAUGUCCGUGGCCAACACCGAGAGCUCGAUGACUCUGAGCCAGAGCAUGGAUUCCGUCAACACGGUAGCCGAGGAAGAGGUGAGUGUGCCAUGCUGUUGUUCUUGCUCGGCGGAACCGUGCGGCGUUCAUUCGGUGCGGACACUCUUCGUGAGUGGCCUUCCCAUGGACGCAAAGCCCAGGGAACUCUACCUGCUAUUCCGUGCCUACAAGGGUUAUGAAGGAUCUCUGCUGAAAGUCACACAAAAGAAUGGAAAGACAUCUUCGCCAGUAGGUUUUGUAACAUUUUCCUCACGAGCUGGAGCAGAAGCCGCCAAGCAGGAGCUUCAACAGGGCGUGCGGUUCGACCCCGACCUUCCACAGACCAUCCGGCUCGAGUUCGCCAAGAGCAACACAAAGGUUAGCAAACCGAAACAGCAGUCUCCUCCCGCCGCGGCCACGCACCCGACACUCCUGCACCCUAUCACGGGACAAGAAAUCGGCGCCGCCCUGCUGCCGGGGACCCACGACGGCUGGCCACACCACCCUCUCUCCUACGCUGAAGUGCCCGUCACCACUACCCUGCACACUGCGGCUCUCAUGCACCCGGCCCUCCAUGCGCAGCUGCCCGACAGCGUUGCCCAACAUGAAGCCGCGGUGGAUCUCUGCUGUCUACAUGCGUGGCUAGAGCUGGAGCGUCGAGACCGACAACUUAUGCAGCACACUUUGCUGGGAACUCCUCUGCAGCCUCCGUUGACGAUGCCGCACCCACUGUCGCACGCGGCGCUGGCCGGCAGUGCAGCUGCGAUGCACGCCACCAUGCCGCCCCCGCACCUGGUCACCAGCCCGGCGCUCGCGUCACCUGUCGGCUCCACCUCGUCUUCGGCUGCCGCAGCGGGAACGCCACCCUGCUCCACGCUGUUCGUGGCCAACUUGGGACAGUUCGUCUCCGAGCAGGAGCUCAAGGACCUCUUCGGAAGGACGUCCGCCUUGCAACACAUGCUAUGAAUGCCUUGCAGGGCUGUGUACUGUUCUCCUCAGAUCGAGGUGGAGUCCGCAUUGAAUUCGCCAAAAACAAGAUGGGAGAGGUAUCCCGUGAAUGAUGAACUGCAACAGUCGAGAAAACGCUUCAAGUUUCCUUAGGUGAAUCUCGGUGUGUGUUCGAGAGGUGUACACAGCAGGCUGCAGUGCAAGCAACCAAAGGCGAAGGCUUGGACAAUAUUUUCAGUACAUU